Anneissia japonica is the source of this 294-nucleotide long non-coding RNA. RefSeq lists it as uncharacterized. The transcript is spliced from 3 exons. NCBI's taxonomy places the organism in Eukaryota, Metazoa, Echinodermata, Crinoidea, Comatulida, Comatulidae. The record is from RefSeq and is a predicted model, not a curated record.
AUACAGGGCAAACAACAACUGUUGCAAUACCAAAAACUACAUUACGACCGACAGCCACGCAUUCGAGGCCGACUCCUCUUUCGACAAGUACUCCUCUAAUUAGACGUACAACGUAUUUUCCAGGUAAAAGUGUUGUUGUCACAUUUUCAAUUACAAAUGUUGACGGUUCAGAAGCAGUUUUAACAGCCGAAUUGCGAGAUCCAAGUUCGGACGAAUUUAAGAGUUUAGAGCAAGAAAUUUGCACCUCGCUGAUUGAUCUAUAUGGUAGCGAUGAAGUUGCAGCUUGUUCAGUGU